GUGCUGGUUUAUACUAAAAUGCACAUAUACUAAAAUUGGAACGAUCCAGAAAAGAUUGGCGUAGCCCCAGUGCAAAUUUGUGAAGUGUUCCAUAUUUUU
Myotis brandtii (Brandt's bat) is the source of this 99-nucleotide non-coding RNA. The record is from Rfam. NCBI's taxonomy places the organism in Eukaryota, Metazoa, Chordata, Mammalia, Chiroptera, Vespertilionidae.